UCUAUAAUAAGGGUGAUCUUCUGAGGAGGGUAUAAACUCACUCCGAGUAUGUCAUGAACAGAAAUUUAUUUCUGUCCCCAGCUGGUGAUCACCUUACACCCUGAAGUAAGACUUAACAUGCAAUGGCCCUUUCACACUUGGGGUGGUCUGUUGUGUAAACAAAUAAAAUAUCAUCUAUUUAAAGGCCAGCCACUCGUGAUAUGACAUGCAGGGUUUUUGCAGUGCAGUUUGGCUGCAAUAUUUUCCUUCAUGUGGUCAUUCUUCUACCAAGCAUGAGGAUUCUUAUAUUGUUCCCUACUUUACACAACACUCAUCCUCAGGGCCUGAAGUAAUGGUGGCUAUGGGUAUGUCUACACUGCAAUGAAAGCUGGACUGGGUCAGUGGACUUGGGCUCAUGGGGCUUGGGCUCCAGGGCUAAAAACUUGAUUGUAGACUCAAUGCCACAGUUGAGGGGUUCUUUCUUUCUUUCUUUCUUUCUUUCUUUCUUUCUUUCUUUCUUUCUUUCUUUAUUUCUGCAGUGUAGAUAUACCCUAAAGGCCUGAUCGAAGCCCAUUGAAGUCUCAGGGUUAAAGUCUCUACCUGAAGAAUACUCCCUUUGUAGGCAUUUAUCUUUCCCUUUGCAAGGGUCAUAGAAAUAUCCUCUCUCAAAUUAAAGGCCAAAUCCUGUGCUUAUUUACAUUAGUGUCAAUCCAGAUUAAUUCCUGUGACUCAAUGGAGUUUUUCUGAAUUUACACUGAUGUCAGUGAAAGCAAGAUUUGGCCCUACAUACACUGUUCUACCCAGGUAAAAUGGGUUGAGACCAAAACAGAAUUUCAGCCUUUUUUGCUGAAUUUCUUUCCCUUUGUGGUUUUGCCUGAUCAGUGCUUUACUGAAAUAAAGUACUUUUUAUAACAUUUCUAUGUCUUCUCUCUAAAGCAAGAAAACUGGUGAUUAGCACAGUUGAUUACAUACUGUAUUAAAAGCCACAUAUUACAUUAACACCUGUAAAUUACAAAGAAAUUCACUGUUUGCAGUGUGGUAAAAUGCCUUAUUAAAACCACAAAUAUUAAAAUUCUUCAUCUAUGCACCUUAGCUCCCCAUCUUUCUUACUUCUAUUAGUUUUUCCAUUGCUCGUUCAGACUGGCAUGUGAUGAAGUAGACACAUGCUGUAAUUUAUGUUACUCUGUGGGAAGCAGAGAAACUUUUCUGUUUAUUUUAGAACAAGGUAAUCAGUUUUUUUAAAAAUAUUUCUCUUUUUUAGAGGCUGUUAAAGCUAAAUGAUGGGGAAAAUAGGUGUCUUGGGAUUUGCAACAAGAGCAGCGUUCACCUUGAGUACAUAUUUGAUGUCCACAAACAUGCCAGCUGCAUGACACAUCACAAUUUCUGACUUUACAGCAUCUUGAAGUUGCAGCCAAGUGACCGUGCCACUGAGAUCAUCACACUCACAAAGAAGCAUUUUGAUUGCAACCAGAAAACAUCUCUAAGAAAAAGGCAAAGAAUAGCACUGUACAGGCUAUCUGCAUGGAAGGACAUUCUGAUGCCAAGAGGGAAACUUUUCCACUGGGAGGGCAGCAGCGGCACCAAAGAGAUAGCAAAGGAAGACUCUGGAGGACUCUGGAGGACCUGUUUGUUGGCAGAGAGAGAAGAAGUCAGCAGCAGAUGUACUUACAGCAAGGGAGGAGCAGGCUCUUAGGCAGGAUAAGGAAUUUCUGGAAAUGGAGAGACAGCACAAGCAAUGGGAGUGUGCACAGAGGGAACAGGAUCAUGGACUUAUGCAAUCCCUGGUAGAACAUUUUCAGGGUCUGCCUGCUGCUGUGGCCAUUGCUCCUCUAUGGGAACAUGCAACACUUCCUCCUUCUCCAGGGGCCUUCACAGACUGCUGCUGAAGUAGUGAAUCCCACAUUCCCCCUUACUAGGGAGGAGCAUGCUAGGUGCCAGACACCACUUUCUCCAAAGUCCCUCUCAGGGAACCCCCAGAGCAUUCAGGAGCCUGAUGAGCCUGAUCUAGUCCCAGUAACAUGGUCUGUAUUCAGCCCCUAAACACCACACAGGACAAGUUCACAUUUUUUCCCUGCACACUAUUCCACAGCCGUUCCCCCUCCAUCAGGGUGAGAGGGAGGGGAAGGACACAGAAACU
Dermochelys coriacea (leatherback sea turtle) is the source of this 2116-nucleotide long non-coding RNA. RefSeq lists it as uncharacterized. Lineage: Eukaryota; Metazoa; Chordata; Testudines; Dermochelyidae. The transcript has 3 exons. The record is from RefSeq and is a predicted model, not a curated record.